This 75-nucleotide transfer RNA is filed under the name Thermincola sp. RNAcentral describes it as "tRNA-Val". It matches the Rfam family "tRNA". Rfam says of the family: Transfer RNA (tRNA) molecules are approximately 80 nucleotides in length. Lineage: Bacteria; Bacillati; Bacillota; Clostridia; Eubacteriales; Thermincolaceae. The record is from RNAcentral.
GGGCGAGUAGUUCAGUGGGAGAACGCUUCCUUGACACGGAAGAGGUCGUGAGUUCAAUCCUCGCCUCGCCCACCA